RNAcentral lists this ribosomal RNA (492 nucleotides) under uncultured bacterium. RNAcentral describes it as "partial 16S ribosomal RNA". It matches the Rfam family "Bacterial small subunit ribosomal RNA", at positions 29 to 507 of the family's 1533-position model. The record is from RNAcentral.
AGUGAACGCUGGCGGUAGGCCUAACACAUGCAAGUCGAACGGCAGCACAGUAAGAGCUUGCUCUUACGGGUGGCGAGUGGCGGACGGGUGAGGAAUACAUCGGAAUCUACUUUUUCGUGGGGGAUAACGUAGGGAAACUUACGCUAAUACCGCAUACGACCUACGGGUGAAAGCAGGGGAUCUUCGGACCUUGCGCGAUUGAAUGAGCCGAUGUCGGAUUAGCUAGUUGGCGGGGUAAAGGCCCACCAAGGCGAAGAUCCGUAGCUGGUCUGAGAGGAUGGGCAGCCACACUGGAACUGAGACACGGUCCAGACUCCUACGGGAGGCAGCAGUGGGGAAUAUUGGACAAUGGACGCAAGCCUGAUCCAGCCAUACCGCGUGGGUGAAGAAGGCCUUCGGGUUGUAAAGCCCUUUUGUUGGGAAAGAAAAGCAGCAGGUUAAUACCCCGCUGUUCUGACGGUACCCAAAGAAGAAGCACCGGCUAACUUCGUG